This 497-nucleotide ribosomal RNA is filed under the name uncultured bacterium. RNAcentral describes it as "partial 16S ribosomal RNA". It matches the Rfam family "Bacterial small subunit ribosomal RNA", at positions 28 to 507 of the family's 1533-position model. The record is from RNAcentral.
GAUGAACGCUGGCGGCGUGCCUAACACAUGCAAGUCGAGCGAACAGACGAGGAGCUUGCUCCUCUGACGUUAGCGGCGGACGGGUGAGUAACACGUGGAUACCCUACCUAUAAUUCUGGGAUAAUUUCGGGAAACCGGAGCUAAUACCGGAUAAUAUAUUGAACCGCAUGGUUCAUUAGUAAAAGACGGCUUUGCUGUCACUUAUAGCUGGAUACGCGCCGGUUUAGCUAGUUGGUAAGGUAACGGCUUACCAAGGCGACGAUGCGUAGCCGACCUGAGAGGGUGAUCGGCCACACUGGAACUGAGACACGGUCCAGACUCCUACGGGAGGCAGCAGUAGGGAAUCUUCGGCAAUGGGCGAAAGCUUGACGGAGCAACGCCGCGUGAGUGAUGAAGGUCUUCGGAUCGUAAAACUCUGUUAUUAGGGAAGAACAAAUGUGUAAGUAACUCUGCACGUCUUGACGGUACCUAAUCAAAAAGCCACGGCUAACUACGUG